Humulus lupulus (European hop) is the source of this 1025-nucleotide long non-coding RNA. RefSeq lists it as uncharacterized. The transcript is spliced from 3 exons. Lineage: Eukaryota; Viridiplantae; Streptophyta; Magnoliopsida; Rosales; Cannabaceae. The record is from RefSeq and is a predicted model, not a curated record.
UCUCCUCUCUCUCUCUCUCUCUCUCUCUCUCUCUCUCUCUCUCUCUCUCUCUCUCUCUCUCUCUCUCCUCUGCGUAUUACUGUUGCCGACGACGCAGGAGUACUUUCCGGCCACCAUUUUUAGCCACGCGCCGGACCGUUGGAUUCAGAGGCCUCCGAACUAUCGACCCACGCGGGAAUCUAGAGCUCACUCGCCGAUUAAACGCCUCAACCACUCGAUUUAAGUUCGGCCACCCCGCGACUUCAAAGUUGCGAUUCGGCCACCUCGGGCAUCCGUUUGCCGAUCCGUCACCACCAUCGUGUUCCUCGUGUUGUGGGCUUCAAAACCCAAUAACUUGUUCCUACAUCUACCAUAGUUGGGUGGUGGGCCCACCACGAGCCACCGCGAUCCACCGUAGACUGACGGUCGAAACUUAGUGUUCGAGGUUCCGAAGUACGUUUUGAGUCUCAGAAAAUCAUCGUUUGACUUGUUGUGGAACCCGAUCAUUUUGGAUUUGCAUGGAUUUGAUUGAUUGACUCUUGGUGAGGAAUUUUAAAAUAAGCUAAGGACCUAAGGUGUGGCUUUAGCUGUUGAGCAACUUGUGGAGCACGGACUCAGUAGCAAUGCAAUAAUGGUUUAGAGUUUUCAUAUGGCUGCCUUAAAUUUAAAGUAUUCAUACGUGUAAUAAUUUCUUCUAAUAAGUUUAUAUAAAAGUUUAAAUUUUUCUGUAUUUCUUCGUAUCAUUUUAUUUAAUUCUUUUGGUCAAGUGCCUUACAUACUCGUAAACCCUAGAAUUACGAGUAUGUGGCAGACGUACCCUACCUUAGGGACGUUACAGGAAAAGUCGACCAACCAUGAGUACGGAGAGCGUGAGGCGACUCGUACAUGUUUGGCCUGCCUGGCUGCCAUGGCCAGGGGUAUUUUUGGGAGAUGCUUGUUUUAAACCUAGUUUUGUCGUUUAGUCGACUUUAAUCAUAUUUUUGAGUUGUAUAUAUUUCUAUACAAUAUUUUGGGAUCCCAAAUGUUAAACACUUUAUAAUUUUCAA